This is a non-coding RNA of Candidatus Liptonbacteria bacterium, 116 nucleotides long. The record is from Rfam. NCBI's taxonomy places the organism in Bacteria, Candidatus Liptoniibacteriota.
GUCGGUGUUUUACUCGCAUGUGUCCCACCUCAUCCCAUUCCGAACUGAGAAGUGAAAGCAUGCGCAACUGAUGAUACUUGUGGGUUCGCCCAUGGGGAAAGUAGGUUAUGCCGACA